RNAcentral lists this long non-coding RNA (2315 nucleotides) under Homo sapiens (human). Its description in RNAcentral is "HSALNT0129881". Lineage: Eukaryota; Metazoa; Chordata; Mammalia; Primates; Hominidae. The record is from RNAcentral.
CGACGAGAAGUCGCCGCGGCAACGGCGUCACCCGCGUGUCACGGUCGUGACGUCACCCCGGUGCGUGACGUAAUCUGAGGCGCGCCUUCGCGCCGUCGUCCGGGGAGGGUUUUUUCCCUUCUAACCACCCGCGCUCUCACACUUUGCCUCCGCUCCGCCGUUUCCAUGGCUCCGGUUUCCUACUUUCCUCUUGUCUCCUCCGUCCUCAGCCUGUUCUGUAAUGUGGGAUUUACUAGAAGAGCAGGGCUGGUGUUCGAGGAGGAGAAGUUGAAAUCCUAGAGGGAGGAAGGCGGGGAAGCCAAUACUACUUGCUAUUUCCACUGCAAUGAACGUCUCUGUGUCAUCAAAAUAAGAACUUCAACCCCAAGGUUGAAACAGCCAAGCAGAAUUUGAUGGAAAUAUAUUUAGGAACAGCUAAAUUAGCAGUGCGACGCGUGUUUUCUUUUCAUUGAAGAAUUCAGCCAGUUAAAACGAGUCUAAAUGGAAGUCUGAAAGCUUUUUCUUCAUUGUUGAGGAAUAAAAUAUUUCGUGUAUUUUUCGUUUUCCAGAUUCAUUCAUUUAACAAAUAUCAGUUGAGCACUUUCCAUGCCGUAGGGCCUGUACAAGGCACAUAGCAUUCUAGACAUCUGAAGCAUCAAAACUAAUCAUUUUUAUUUUGAAGAAAAUCACUCAAAAUAUUUUAUGUACUUUGUGCCUUUCAUGAACAGAAUAUUCCAAGCAUUCUCUGCAAAAUACGCAUGAAAACAAUUGGGAGAGAAGAGGUCAAUUAUCUUUGAGAAGCCCAAUUACAGAAUGAAAUUCAAUUCAUUAUUAAAAAUACAUGGAUCUAAUAAAGAAUAAAUAAUUGGAAAAGAAAAGUUUAAGGAAGAGAGAAACGGGAAUGAGAAACAAUUACUGUGGGCUCCCAAUGGCCUGGAGUGAAUCACCAAAGUAACCUAAACAUGAAGUCAUGAAAAACUAAGUGGAUUCUGCCUUUUAGUACUUCCCAUCAUGGGGGAAGUCACCAGCGACCUCCUUACUGUAUUUUGGAUGAUUCAAGAAAUAGAAAGGUGUCCUACUGACUUCUGAAACAGGGUGUCUUCAUAUUGAUUAGGGUCACCGUAAGCCUGGGAGCUGAUGCUUACUCUCAGCCUGCACCUGUGGCCUCAUGGCGCAUUCUCUACAAUCAGUUGACAGAGGAAGAGAAGACUCAGGCCUGGUUUACAGAUGAUUUUGCAUUCUACGCAGGUACGACUCAAAAGUGUACUUCUGCCACAUUACAGUCCCUUUCUGAGACAUCCCUGAAAUACUGUAGGAAGGGAAAUCUUCCCAGGUGGCAGAACUUUGAGCAGUGCACUUGGUUGUUCACUUUGCUUGUAAGGAGAGAUGGCCAGAUGUGCAAUUAUGUAUCAAUUCUUGAGCUGUGGCCAGUGAUUUGGCUGGGUGGUCAGGGACUUGGAAAGAACAUGAUUUAAAAAUUGGUGACAAGGAAAUUUGGGGAAGAGAUAUGUGGGUGGACAUCCCUGAGCAAAAAACUUCUGAAGUUAUUUGUGUCCCAUGUGAAUGCUCACCAAACCAAAAGGUGAUGUCAGCAGAGGAGGAUUUUAAUAAUCAAGUGGAUAGAAUAACCCAUGUGUGGAUACCAGCGGUAUUAGUCCAUUCUCUCACUACUGUGAAGAAAUAUGCAAGACUAGGUAAUUUAUAAAGAAAAGAGGUUUAAUUGACUCACAGUUCCACAUGGCUGGGGAGGCCUCAGGAGACUUGCAGUCGUGGCAGAAGGCACCUCUUCACAGGGCAGCAGGAGAAUGAGGGCUAAGCAAAGGGGGAAGCCCUUUAUAAAACCAUCGGAUCUCAUGAGAACUUACUCAAUAUCACGAGAACAGCAUGGAGGAAACAGUCCCCAUGUUUCAAUUACCUCCUACUGGGUCCCUCCCAUGCCAUGUGGGGAUUAUGGGGAUUAUAGUUCAAAAUGAGAUUUGGGUGGGGAUACAGCCAAACCAUAUCACCAGUGAAACUCUUUCCCCAACAACCCCAUUAUUGUCCAAUGGGCUCAUAAACAAACUGGCCAUGGUGACAGGGAUGGAGGUUGUGCAUGGGCUCAGCAACAUGGACUUCCAUUUACCAAGGCCAACCUGGCUGUAGCCACUGCCGAGUGUACAUUCUGCCAGCAGCAGAGACCAACACUGAACACGCCAUAUAUGGUCCUAUUCACUGGGGUAAUCAGCCAGCUACCUGAUAGCAGGUUACCAUUGGACAUAUGGAAGAGGCAGCAUUUGGUUCUUACAGGAACAGACAUUUAUUCUAGAUAUAGAUUUGCCCUCCCUGAAUGCAGUGCU